UACGUAGGGGGCUAGCGUUGUCCGGAAUCAUUGGGCGUAAAGCGCGUGUAGGCGGCCCGGUAAGUCCGCUGUGAAAGUCGAGGGCUCAACCCUCGAAAGCCGGUGGAUACUGUCGGGCUCGAGUGCGGGAGAGGCGAGUGGAAUUCCCGGUGUAGCGGUGAAAUGCGCAGAUAUCGGGAGGAACACCAAUGGCGAAGGCAGCUCGCUGGGACGUGACUGACGCUGAGACGCGAAAGCGUGGGGAGCAAACAGG
RNAcentral lists this ribosomal RNA (253 nucleotides) under uncultured bacterium. RNAcentral describes it as "partial 16S ribosomal RNA". It matches the Rfam family "Bacterial small subunit ribosomal RNA", at positions 524 to 776 of the family's 1533-position model. The record is from RNAcentral.